Molecule: ribosomal RNA, 1592 nt
Filed under: human oral metagenome
Description: bacterial LSU rRNA
Rfam family: Bacterial large subunit ribosomal RNA
Source: RNAcentral
GGCUUAGAAGCAGCCAUCCUUGAAAGAGUGCGUAAUAGCUCACUGGUCAAGUGGUUCUGCGCCGACAAUGUAGCGGGGCUCAAGCGCACCGCCGAAGCCGUGGCAGCAGCGCUUUUCGCCCUCCUCCCCCCUCUUUUGGAUGGGGUGGUGGGUGCGCUGCUGGGUAGGGGAGCGUCCUGCGCGGGGCGAAGCCCGGGGGUGACCCCUGGUGGACCGCGUGGGAGUGAGAAUGCAGGCAUGAGUAACGAAUUCUGCGGUGGGAAUCCGCAGCGCCGAUUGACUAAGGGUUCCAGGGCCAGGUUCAUCCGCCCUGGGUUAGUCGGGUCCUAAGGCGAGGCCGACAGGCGUAGUCGAUGGUCGACCAGUUGAUAUUCUGGUACCGCGCGGCGACCGCCAGUGCCGAUACCGCUGUGCUAACCGCCCGCACCGCCCUCUCCUGCGCUUUCGGGCGCGGGGGUGGGGGGUGUCGCGGGGCCCCGGUGGUGGAGGCAAGCGUGUUGACAGGGGUGACGCAGGAAGGUAGCCGCAAUGCGCCGGUGGUUGUGCGUAUUCAAGGCUGUGGCCCGUCCCCCAGGCAAAUCCGGGGGGCAUGCGGGUGAGGGCUGAGGAGGGACACACGCGUGUGUGGACUUGUGGUGAUCCUAUGCUGCCGAGAAAAACCCCGACGUGAGGGCGCCGCGCGCCCGUACCCCAAACCGACUCAGGUGGUCAGGUAGAGCAUACCGAGGCGUUCGAGUGAAUCAUGGUUAAGGAACUCGGCAAAAUUCCUCCGUAACUUCGGGAUAAGGAGGACCCCUUGGCCUGCCCCCGCCGCGCGCGGGGGCGGGGCCGGGGGGUCGCAGAGAAUAGGGAGAAGCGACUGUUUAUCAAAAACACAGGUGCGUGCGAAGCCGCAAGGCGAUGUAUACGCACUGACGCCUGCCCGGUGCUGGAAGGUCAAGAGGAGCCCUCAGCCCCCCCAGUGGGGGCGAAGGGGCGAAUUCAAGCCCCAGUAAACGGCGGUGGUAACUAUAACCAUCCUAAGGUAGCGAAAUUCCUUGUCGGGUAAGUUCCGACCUGCACGAAUGGCGUAACGACUUCUCCGCUGUCUCAACCGUGAACUCGGUGAAAUUGCAGUACGAGUAAAGAUGCUCGUUUCGCGCAGAAGGACGGAAAGACCCCGGGACCUUUACUAUAGCUUGGUAUUGGUGUCCGCUUGUGCUUGUGUAGGAUAGGUGGGAGACUGUGAAGCGGCCGCGCCAGCGGUGGUGGAGUCGUCGUUGAAAUACCAUUCUGGUUCAAGCGGGCGCCUGAACCUGGGCCCGUGAUCCGGGCCGGGGACAGUGCCUGGUGGGUAGUUUAACUGGGGCGGUUGCCUCCUAAAAGGUAACGGAGGCGCUCAAAGGUCCCCUCAGCCUGGUUGGCAAUCAGGUGGCGAGUGCAAGUGCACAAGGGGGCUUGACUGUGAGACCGACGGGUCGAGCAGGUGCGAAAGCAGGAACUAGUGAUCCGGCCAUGGCACGUGGGUGCGUGGUCGCUCAACGGAUAAAAGGUACCCCGGGGAUAACAGGCUGAUCUUGCCCAAGAGUCCAUAUCGACGGCAUGGUUUGGCA